RNAcentral lists this ribosomal RNA (395 nucleotides) under uncultured bacterium. RNAcentral describes it as "partial 16S ribosomal RNA". It matches the Rfam family "Bacterial small subunit ribosomal RNA", at positions 338 to 730 of the family's 1533-position model. The record is from RNAcentral.
CCUACGGGGUGCAGCAGUGAGGAAUAUUGGUCAAUGGGCGUAAGCCUGAACCAGCCAAGUCGCGUGAGGGAUGAAGGUUCUAUGGAUCGUAAACCUCUUUUAUAAGGGAAUAAAGUGUGGGACGUGUCCUGUUUUGUAUGUACCUUAUGAAUAAGGAUCGGCUAACCCCGUGCCAGCAGCCGCGGUAAUACGGAGGAUCCGAGCGUUAUCCGGAUUUAUUGGGUUUAAAGGGAGCGUAGGAGGGCUUUUAAGUCAGCUGUGAAAGUCUGUGGCUCAACCAUAGAAUUGCCGAAGAAACUGGGAGGCUUGAGUAUGUUAGAGGCAAGCGGAAUGCGUGGUGUAGCGGUAAAAUGCUUAGAUAUAACGAAGAACCCCAGUGGCGAAGGCGGCCUGCC